This 756-nucleotide ribosomal RNA is filed under the name uncultured bacterium. RNAcentral's name for it is "bacterial SSU rRNA". It matches the Rfam family "Bacterial small subunit ribosomal RNA", at positions 8 to 796 of the family's 1533-position model. The record is from RNAcentral.
AGAGUUUGAUCAUGGCUCAGAAUCAACGCUGGCGGCGCGCUUAACACAUGCAAGUCGCACGAGAAAGUGGAGCAAUCCAUGAGUACAGUGGCGUACGGGUGAGUAACACGUGGAUCAUCUACCUUUUAGUGGGGAAUACCCCCGGGAAACUGGGGAUAAUACCGCAUAAGCUCGUAAGAGGAAAGCAGCAAUGCGCUGAAAGAGGAGUCCGCGGCUGAUUCGCUAGUUGGUGAGGUAAUGGCUCACCAAGGCGAAGAUCGGUAGCCGGCCUGAGAGGGCACACGGCCACACUGGCACUGAAACACGGGCCAGACUCCUACGGGAGGCAGCAGUGGGGAAUCUUGCACAAUGGAGGAAACUCUGAUGCAGCGACGCCGCGUGAGCGAUGAAGCCCUUCGGGGUGUAAAGCUCUUUCGACGGGAACGAUAAUGACGGUACCCGAAGAAGAAGCUGCGGCUAACUACGUGCCAGCAGCCGCGGUAAUACGUAGGCAGCAAGCGUUGUUCGGAAUUACUGGGCGUAAAGAGUGUGUAGGCGGUGCUCUAAGUCUGUUGUGAAAUCUCCCGGCUUAACUGGGAGGGUGCGGCGGAAACUGGAGUGCUUGAGGGUGGGAGAGGUAAGCGGAAUUCCUGGUGUAGCGGUGAAAUGCGUAGAUAUCAGGAGGAACACCUGUGGUGUAGACAGCUUACUGGACCACUUCUGACGCUGAGACACGAAAGCGUGGGUAGCAAACAGGAUUAGAUACCCUAGUAGUCC